This 194-nucleotide ribosomal RNA is filed under the name uncultured bacterium. RNAcentral describes it as "partial 16S ribosomal RNA". It matches the Rfam family "Bacterial small subunit ribosomal RNA", at positions 307 to 526 of the family's 1533-position model. The record is from RNAcentral.
GCCUCCCUCCGCGCCAUCAGACUCCUACGGGAGGCAGCAGUAGGGAAUUUUCCACAAUGGGCGAAAGCCUGAUGGAGCAACGCCGCGUGCAGGAUGAAGGCCUUCGGGUCGUAAACUGCUUUUCUUUGUGAGGAUUAUGACAGUAGCAGAGGAAUAAGGAUCGGCUAACUCCGUGCCAGCAGCCGCGGUAAUAC